AUUGAACGCUGGCGGCAGGCUUAACACAUGCAAGUCGAGCGGGGAAAAGUAGCUUGCUACUUUACCUAGCGGCGGACGGGUGAGUAAUGCUUAGGAAUCUGCCUAUUAGUGGGGGACAACAUCUCGAAAGGGAUGCUAAUACCGCAUACGUCCUACGGGAGAAAGCAGGGGACCUUCGGGCCUUGCGCUAAUAGAUGAGCCUAAGUCGGAUUAGCUAGUUGGUGGGGUAAAGGCCUACCAAGGCGACGAUCUGUAGCGGGUCUGAGAGGAUGAUCCGCCACACUGGGACUGAGACACGGCCCAGACUCCUACGGGAGGCAGCAGUGGGGAAUAUUGGACAAUGGGGGGAACCCUGAUCCAGCCAUGCCGCGUGUGCGAAGAAGGCCUUUUGGUUGUAAAGCACUUUAAGCGAGGAGGAGGCUACCGAGAUUAAUACUCUUGGAUAGUGGACGUUACUCGCAGAAUAAGCACCGGCUAACUCUGUG
Molecule: ribosomal RNA, 485 nt
Filed under: uncultured bacterium
Lineage: Bacteria
Description: partial 16S ribosomal RNA
Rfam family: Bacterial small subunit ribosomal RNA
Source: RNAcentral